GAACUCUCAUGUGUCUUAUUGCAGUGAAUUCUCCACUCUCAUCUACAUGUAAUUAUUUUCUGACUCUGAUAAUCAUACAUUAGUUUUGCCUGUCAAGAGUUUCAUAUAAAUGACUUUGUUUUGCUUUUUAACACCGUAAUUCCUGCAGUGUACAUGAUUACAGCACACUGCAUACAUCAGUAGUUUUUUUUCUUUUUAUUGCAAGGUAAGUAUUUCAUUUUAUGUAUACAAAAUGAUAGUAUAUCUGUCUCCUUUUGAUGGGCAUUUGAGUUGUUUCUUGUUUUAGGUGAUUACAAAUAAGACUGCUGUGGAUAUUUUUGUACAAGUUUUUUUGGGAUAUAUGUUUUCAUUUUAUUUGGUCAUAGGAUAGAUGUAAUUUAACUUUGUAAGAGGUAGCCAAACAGUUCUGAAAAAUAGUUAUACCAUCUUAUACUCCCAGGCAAAAUAUUUUUAAACAGAAAAUAGUUACUUUCUAAAAAAUUGCUCUGAGAAUUACAUAAUUUUAAAUAUUCAUCAUGCUCUUUACUGUAAAUCUGUUCUCUAACAUCUUGUCAAAAUAUUCUAAGAGUAAGUUUUUGAAUAUCUUACUACGGCAGUAAGGAGAAAUUGCAAAUUGAUAAGUGCUACCGGAACAGUUUGUGAAAAGAUUUUUCAUUACUAAAUUAAGCAUUAUAUGCAAAUUAACUUAAUAAACUCGUAAGCAAGGUUGGGCAGGAGGUUUCUCUACUUCUUUCCUUAUGUGAGAAGUUACACAUCUAACAGACAGUGAUCUCAGUCUAUGUUUCAUUCAACUGUACCCAUCUUACAACUUCCUUCUUUUCUUUUUUCUUUUUUUUUCCAGCUUCAUCUGUUUGGAAUCAAAAGUGUGAAAGACCUGGAAAUUAAAUCAAAAGAGUGGCAGAAUAAUCCUCCUCACUGACAAAUGAGAAACAACAUUUCACUCUGUGGCCGAGGCUGGAGUAAAGUGGCACAAUCACCUUGCUGCAACCUUGACCUCCUAGGCUCAAGCAGUCCUUCCAACUCAACUUCCCAAGUAGCUGAGACUACAGGACAGAAUAUUCAAGAUGGCGCUGUGAGAACAACCCAGGAUUGGAGCUCUUGUUGAAUCUGCAAACGGUGAAUCGGAGCUGCAUUUCCAGACUGAUCUUUGUUGCCCACAGAACGGGGAAACUCCCAAGUAUAAAAAAGACAUGGGAUGCCAGGCAGUAGGUCUGCCUGGCGAAGCCGGCAGCCGGGGCGGCGGCGGCCGGCCCUACCCAGCAAUCCCCACAGGGCACGCUUGUCCGGGUGCCAUGUUGAACCGGCAACCUGAGACUUGAGAGGGCUGGACUUGAGACUGAACGAGACUUGGACAGUAGGCCAGCCCAGGAAAUUGCAGGGACAGAUCGUUUGGGAGACCCAGUGGGACGAACAAAACCGCAAUUUCAAACUAUCCCGAGCAGACGGUCCGAGACGCUCUGUUGGGGAGGGGCGUCCACCACUACCGAGGCAACCCGCCCCAACUGAGAUACACGCCCACUGCUGAUGCAGCCAGCCGUUGCCGAGGCAACCCAUCCCUACUGAGAUACAUGCCCACUGCUCGCUCAGCCUGCCGUUGCUGAGGCAACACAUUACAACAAAGAGACUCCACCGCAGGGCAUGGCGGAGACCACAGCAGAGCCUGCAGGAACAGGGCGAAUCACACAACAGCAGGGUGGAGCCUCGGCAGCCAAACAGUGGCUAGUCUGCCUUCUAGCUGGGCAGGACACCUCAUCAGACAUAGAAAAAUAAAGCCCGAACUCCUCCAACACAGAGCAUUUGAGAAAAAAAGGGUUUUUUUAAUGAGCUCUGUUGCAGCAGAAUCAAACAUAGCAGCCUAACAGCCCUGAAUGAACAACAGAGCUCACAGCUCAGCAAUUGAGCUCCAAAAAAGUACAGACUGUCUCCUCAAGCAGCUCCUGACCCCUCUAUAUCCAAAAGACUGACAUUUGGCAGGCAUCAUCCUGGGACAAAGAUAUCAGAAAAAGAAACAGGUAGCAUCCCUCACUGUGCCACAGCUGCUAGAGGUGCACCCCAGACAAGCAGGGCCUGGAGUGGACCUCAGCAGUCAUACAGCGAAGGGGAUAGGCUGGUAGAAGGAAAACCAACAGAAAUACUUCAUCAUCAACAAUCUCGGUGUCCACUCAGAGACCCAAUCGAAAAGUCAGCAACUACGCAGAUGAC
Long non-coding RNA from Callithrix jacchus (white-tufted-ear marmoset), 2202 nucleotides. The record is from Ensembl. NCBI's taxonomy places the organism in Eukaryota, Metazoa, Chordata, Mammalia, Primates, Cebidae.